AUUGAACGCUGGCGGCAGGCCUAACACAUGCAAGUCGAACGAGUGGCGGACGGGUGAGUAAUGUCUGGGAAACUGCCCGAUGGAGGGGGAUAACUACUGGAAACGGUAGCUAAUACCGCAUACCAUCGGAUGUGCCCAGAUGGGAUUAGCUAGUAGGUGGGGUAACGGCUCACCUAGGCGACGAUCCCUAGCUGCGCUGAGAGGAUGACCAGCAACACUAGAACUUGGACACGGUCCAGACUCCUACGAGAGGCAGCCGUGAGGAUUAUUGCACAAUGGGCGCAAGCCUGAUGCAGCAAUGCCGCGUUUAUGAAGAAGGCCUUCGGGUUGUAAAGUACUUUAAGCGAGGAGGCGUUACGCGCAGAAGAAGCACCGGCUAACGCCGUGCCAGCGGCCGCGGUAAUUC
This 406-nucleotide ribosomal RNA is filed under the name uncultured bacterium. RNAcentral's name for it is "partial 16S ribosomal RNA". It matches the Rfam family "Bacterial small subunit ribosomal RNA", at positions 30 to 526 of the family's 1533-position model. The record is from RNAcentral.